RNAcentral lists this ribosomal RNA (497 nucleotides) under uncultured bacterium. RNAcentral describes it as "partial 16S ribosomal RNA". It matches the Rfam family "Bacterial small subunit ribosomal RNA", at positions 28 to 507 of the family's 1533-position model. The record is from RNAcentral.
GAUGAACGCUGGCGGCGUGCCUAAUACAUGCAAGUCGAGCGAACGGACGGGAAGCUUGCUUCUCUGAUGUUAGCGGCGGACGGGUGAGUAACACGUGGAUAACCUACCUAUAAGACUGGGAUAACUUCGGGAAACCCGAGCUAAUACCGGUUAAUAUUUUGAACCGCAUGGUUCAAAAGUGAAAGACGGUCUUGCUGUCACUUAUAGAUGGAUCCGCGCUGCAUUAGCUAGUUGGUAAGGUAACGGCUUACCAAGGCAACGAUGCAUAGCCGACCUGAGAGGGUGAUCGGCCACACUGGAACUGAGACACGGUCCAGACUCCUACGGGAGGCAGCAGUAGGGAAUCUUCCGCAAUGGGCGAAAGCCUGACGGAGCAACGCCGCGUGAGUGAUGAAGGUCUUCGGAUCGUAAAACUCUGUUAUUAGGGAAGAACAUAUGUGUAAGUAACUGUGCACAUCUUGACGGUACCUAAUCAGAAAGCCACGGCUAACUACGUG